GACGAACGCUGGCGGCGUGCCUAAUACAUGCAAGUAGAACGCACAGUUCAUACUGUAGCUUGCUACACCAUAAACUGUGAGUUGCGAACGGGUGAGUAACGCGAUGGUUACCUGACUGGUAGCGGGGGAUAACUAUUGGACACGGUAGCUAAUACCGCAUGCUAUUGAUUAUUCCAUGAUCAUUGAUUGUAAGUUGCUAUUGUAUCGCUACAAGAUGGCCCUGCGUUGUAUUUGCUCGUAGGUGAGGUAACGGCACACUUAGGCGACGAGACAUAGCAGACCUGAAAGGGGGAUCUGCGACGCUGGGACUGGGACACGGCCAAGAAUCUUACGGGUGGCAGCAGUAGGGAAUCUUCGGCGAUGGACGAAAGUCGGACCGAUCAACGCCGCGUGAGUGAAGAAGGUUUUCGGGUCGUGAAGCUCUGUUGUGAGUGAAGAACGUGUGUGAGUUUGGAAAGUUCACACAGUGACGGUAUCUUACCAGAAAGGGACGGCUAACUACGUG
Molecule: ribosomal RNA, 505 nt
Filed under: uncultured bacterium
Lineage: Bacteria
Description: partial 16S ribosomal RNA
Rfam family: Bacterial small subunit ribosomal RNA
Source: RNAcentral